AGAGUUUGAUCCUGGCUCAGGACGAACGCUGGCGGCGUGCUUAACACAUGCAAGUCGAGCGGUAAGGCCCUUCGGGGUACACGAGCGGCGAACGGGUGAGUAACACGUGAGCAACCUGCCCCUGACUCUGGGAUAAGCGGUGGAAACGCCGUCUAAUACCGGAUACGACCCGCCACCUCAUGGUGGAGGGUGGAAAGUUUUUCGGUCAGGGAUGGGCUCGCGGCCUAUCAGCUUGUUGUGGGGUAACGGCCUACCAAGGCGAUUACGGGUAGCCGGCCUGAGAGGGCGACCGGCCACACUGGGACUGAGACACGGCCCAGACUCCUGCGGGAGGCAGCAGUGGGGAAUAUUGCGCAAUGGGCGAAAGCCUGACGCAGCGACGCCGCGUGGGGGAUGACGGCCUUCGGGUUGUAAACCUCUUUUACCACCAACGCAGGCUUCCAGUUCUCUGGGGGUUGACGGUAGGUGGGGAAUAAGGACCGGCUAACUACGUG
Molecule: ribosomal RNA, 494 nt
Filed under: uncultured Nocardiopsis sp.
Lineage: Bacteria; Bacillati; Actinomycetota; Actinomycetes; Streptosporangiales; Nocardiopsidaceae
Description: bacterial SSU rRNA
Rfam family: Bacterial small subunit ribosomal RNA
Source: RNAcentral